Molecule: long non-coding RNA, 947 nt
Filed under: Dermacentor andersoni
Lineage: Eukaryota; Metazoa; Arthropoda; Arachnida; Ixodida; Ixodidae
Description: uncharacterized LOC126528616
Source: RNAcentral
GUAUUGGUGUUGCUUCCCACAGGAUGUUGCUAUCUCUACAAUAGCCGGAGAAGAAAAAAGUUUUGAAAUGCACACGGAGUGGCUCAGCUGUGAAUCUCGCAAAGGCUCUCCUGACGAGGAUGAAAUCAAUGAAAGGAUGGCCUCGACAUGGCGCCAAGGAAUUUCUGACAUCGCAACAAAUAGUAUUCAUGAGGCGAAGAGGAAGUACCCAUACAUGAUGAGCUUUGAGCGGUGACUUUGCAAGACUAACUAAGAUUGACCCUUCACCAUGUAUUGCAAAAGGGAUCAACAAAAUUGUGAAAAUGGCAGAAAUGAAACGCAUCCCUUGCGAAGCAAGUGUAAUGGUAUCACUUGAACAGGCUCGUGAGAUGUCACCGGAGAGGCUGCGAACACGACGGCCCGAGCGUUCCUGCAACCCCUUGCAUCGUAUUUUCUGGAGCAGACGUUGUAGAGGCUGACCUUCUCCACAUCAAGGUGGACCGCGACAGGUUGUUUGCGGUGAAAAAUGGGGAGGAGGGGCUGGCGGCUGUCUUAUCUGCUUACUGGCUCUUCAAUAUCCAGUACGACAGCAAGCUGUUCAACGCUCUUGUCGUGUUGGAGCGCCUUUUCCUCGGGCUCACAUUGAGUACCCCUAGAGUAGUGGCUACAAAGUUCUUGAACAAAGUCACCAAAAGUGAGCCAUGUUGAAUGUGCUGUUGGCCGUCUUGGCCGUAACAAUAUUGAAGUGGUAACAAACUUUUGACAACAAAGUGGUAACUUUUGAUAACAAAAGAAAUUUAAGUCUAGCCAACUUCCGUUGUGGAGCCAGUGGAGGCAAAUCAAGUAACCAAUGCAUUUCGGAAACAGAGUCAAUGCGAUAAUACCGGGAAAGAAUGAACCUUGCAGAUUUUUUCUAUAUCUUCUUAAUGCGAUUUAUUAAUCCUGAUUGAAACGGAUCCCAAAUGACG